GCCGGGCGUGGUGGCGGACGCCUGUAGUCCCAGCUACUCGGGAGGCUGAGACAGGAGAAUGGCAUGAACCCAGGGAGGCGGAGCUUGCAGUGAGCCAAGAUCGAGCCACUGCAUGCCAGCCUGGGCGACAGAGCGAGACUCCGUCUCAU
This 149-nucleotide non-coding RNA is filed under the name Homo sapiens (human). Lineage: Eukaryota; Metazoa; Chordata; Mammalia; Primates; Hominidae. The record is from Rfam by way of RNAcentral.